CCCUUAGAUGUUCUGGGCUGCACGCGCGCUACACUGAUGCAUUCAACGAGCACCCGCUGGGCCGAGAGGUCCGGCUAAUCUUUGAACGUGCAUCGUGCUGGGGAUAGAUGAUUGCAAUUAUUCAUCUUCAACGAGGAAUUCCUAGUAAACGCAAGUCAUCAGCUUGCAUUGAUUACGUCCCUGCCCUUUGUACACACCGCCCGUCGCACCUACCGAUUGAAUGGUCCGGUGAAAUUCUCGGACGCGGACUUGCGAUGUUAAUUCGGAGCUUGACUGUGAAAGUUAAUUAAACCUUACCAUUUAGAGGAAGGUGAAGUCGUAACA
RNAcentral lists this ribosomal RNA (324 nucleotides) under uncultured eukaryote. RNAcentral's name for it is "partial 18S ribosomal RNA". It matches the Rfam family "Eukaryotic small subunit ribosomal RNA", at positions 1470 to 1796 of the family's 1831-position model. The record is from RNAcentral.